RNAcentral lists this ribosomal RNA (414 nucleotides) under soil bacterium 11V-15. RNAcentral's name for it is "bacterial SSU rRNA". It matches the Rfam family "Bacterial small subunit ribosomal RNA", at positions 24 to 484 of the family's 1533-position model. The record is from RNAcentral.
UCAGAACGAACGCUGGCGGCAUGCCUAACACAUGCAAGUCGAACGGACCCUUCGGGGUUAGUGGCGCACGGGUGCGUAACGCGUGGGAAUCUGCCCUUGGGUUCGGAAUAACUCGCCGAAAGGCGUGCUAAUACCGGAUGAUGUCGUAAGACCAAAGAUUUAUCGCCCAAGGAUGAGCCCGCGUAAGAUUAGCUAGUUGGUGGGGUAAAGGCCCACCAAGGCGACGAUCUUUAGCUGGUCUGAGAGGAUGAUCAGCCACACUGGGACUGAGACACGGCCCAGACUCCUACGGGAGGCAGCAGUGGGGAAUAUUGGACAAUGGGCGAAAGCCUGAUCCAGCAAUGCCGCGUGAGUGAUGAAGGCCUUAGGGUUGUAAAGCUCUUUUACCCGGGAUGAUAAUGACAGUACCGGAGA